UGGUUUAUUCACAAAAGAACAGGAUCUUGUAUGUACAUAUCACAUUUUGUUUAUUAGCUCAUCUGUUAAUGGACACCUGAGUUGAUUUCACAAUUGGGAAUCAUGCUGUUAUGAAUAUAGACUAGAAAACUACUGGAAGCGCCCUGAGGGCACAAAGGCUCCAGGAAUUUACAAAACCAGAGCACAACAACGGGAAGACUGGACCCUUUGCCCAAAGAUAACACUGAAACACGUUACAGCCUCCACAGGAACAACUGAAGCAUCCUGCUCACAACCACCUCAAUCACCUAAUAAAAGCUCAAAGCCCCAACCCAUCAGGAUUGGUGCUGAUGCAUAUCCCUGCACCUAGCCCUUUCCCUCCUUGGGAAAAUAA
Phyllostomus discolor (pale spear-nosed bat) is the source of this 373-nucleotide long non-coding RNA. RefSeq lists it as uncharacterized. The record is from RefSeq and is a predicted model, not a curated record. NCBI's taxonomy places the organism in Eukaryota, Metazoa, Chordata, Mammalia, Chiroptera, Phyllostomidae. The transcript is spliced from 2 exons.